CUGGAGGAAGUGGGGAGCCAUUUGAAUUUUGGUUUCUUUCCUCUUAAUUAUCUGGGGUUGCCCUUCGAGAAAUCGGUUCUCUUUGCAGUUGGGAAAUUAACCCUUAAUCUCCACAAAUGAGGGCAAUCAACCCAUUUACUAAAUAAACACAGAUCAUUACGGCUUGGCCGCCCCUCAUUGUGAUUUAAUUUGAGAAUGGGUUCACCUGAGCAGGAGCAGGGGCGUGACCCAGUGCUGUCCCCUAGGGGAGGUGGCAGGUUGAAAAGUGGCUGAGAGGGUGGGGCGGGACUGGAGGGAGCUUUGAGAUUUCUUUAUGUGUGGAAAUCUUGGCCCCGCCUUGACUUGGUUUUUACCUUGCGAACUGAGCAGGAAGCGCUCUGUUGUGUGGUGUUAGCUUUGGCUUUGAGAGUGCAAGCUGGUUAAAGCGGCUUUUAUUUGGAUGUUGACUGCUGAAGCCCCUGGGUGGGAACAGAGAAGCCCUUUAUGUCUUAGUUAGCUCGUAUUAAUACGUUGAGGAAUCUGUCCUUGCAUUGAAUCCCCUGCCUCACCCACCAGUCACUCUGUUUAUUGGUAGCCACAAAAGUUUAUUUAAAUCCUGGGGACGUUGACUGCUGUGGGAUGCUGUGCCAAGCCCACAGGGGGUGCCCAAUAAAUGAUUGAGUCGAUGAAUUACUGUGGCCCAGUUCAAAUGGAAAAACCUGUGAAGAAAGCUCAUGGCCUUCACUUAUUUGAAAAUAUGCUACUGAGGAGCCACUUCAUCAGGUAAAAGCGUUUGACACCGGAUCUGGUGACCUGAAUUUCAUCCCUGGAACCCACUUGGUAGACAGAGAAAACUGAUUCUCUCUAACUGUCCUGUGACUUCUACACAUGUGCUGUGACAUGUACAGCCAAGCGUGCCAUACACGUACCCACAAAAAAAGUAAGAACGCUUAAGCGCGAGGUGUGAAAUGAACCGGCUGAUCGAAAGGACUGAAAUUAAAAUCCACACAGUUCCGUUCCUCGGCCUCUGUUUUUAUCGGGGUGGCUUCUGCGUGGGAGAUCUGCUAGGAAUCUGGUGAGGGUAGCUGUUCUGCUUGGUGCCUGCCAGGCACCGAAGGUGGCCCCUCGCAGCUGUACCUCAUCAGGAAGGCCCCGGGAACGGGGGCGGGGGACUUUAGCUGAGGUCCAGCGUGACCUCAGCCCCAGAGAGAGGAGGGGUCGUCUCUGCUGGGGUCUGCCCUGGGGAAGGGGCUGCCGCCCGCUCCUGUGGCCUCCAGCAGACCUGUGAAGAGCUUCUACUGAAGGGGGGGGGGGGAGGCAAGACGGCCCCGGAGGCAGAGGGAACUUCUAGAGCGGAGGUAAACAAAGGACUGCGACAGACUUCUCACUUCGGCAAAAGGCGCUUUGGUCUCCCUGUGAAACUUCACUCCUCCUCUCCCCAGCCGCCUUCCAUUUACAGAGUUCGUCCCGGCCCCAGGGAUGGGCCCCGUUUUAAAGCCCUAGUUCUAAAGACCAUAUUGGUCCUGCAUGCUUAGUUUUGGCACCCUGGGAUGGUGAUGUCCUGACUUAAAUCCCAGCUGAGCAGUUGGGAGUGAGCCAGCUGACCGAGUCCAGCGUCUGGGGCUGGCCGGAUCCUUACUAUUUUUAUGAACUGCUAACAUUUAUUUAGUGCUCGCCAUGCCAGAGACAUCCCGCUAAGCCCUCACCCCUCACUCCCUGAACCUUCAUCCGCAAGAGCCCUUGCAAGUGGCCACUUUUGAUUUGACCCGUGUGGCAGACCGAGUUACGGAGAGGUCUGAGAUCCCGCUGUCAAUAAGGAACAAACUUUGAACCCGCUCUUUCCUUGAAUGAGAAGGGGGUGGGGAGGUGUGAAAGGAAAGAAAGGGGGUGAAAUUUAGCCCGCCUUGAAGAGCAAGAGCUAGGGGCCUACGUGCGUCUGGCCUGGAGAAAGCCCCCCCACAGAGUGAAGAGAACCAGUCAACUCAGGUGUUCUCAGAGGAAGCUCCGUGAGGUUGAGCUUCUGUCUGGCGCCCCCAGCCAGCUGUCCCAGGGGACAUCACAGGUCCAGGGUGUUUGUGGGAGACUGGAUCACUAUGAAGCAUGUAGGCCACCUCCCCUGGUGCUCGGCCUGACACUGGGAAAAUUCCCACCAACGAUUUGAAAGGUCUGUUUUACCGAUGAAAAGAAGGCACGAUGGCCCAGGCAGGAUUAGCGUGGGCCACCGGAAACCCCUCCCCCGCACUUUGUUUACAGGUAUGCUUUGGGAGGUGUGGUUGAAAGCCCAUAUUUAGUAGCUUGUCCGCUGUGUGUCCUGAACAAGUUACUUCGUCUUCUGCAAAGCGGCACUAGCACCUGUCUGUCUCCCGGGAUUGGGAGGACCCAGCGAGAGGAUACGAUGAACCUGGCAGUCUGUAAAUGCUCAGUGGAAGGUCAUUACUUGCUACUGGUAAAGGUUUAGAGAGGCAAUUUAGGAAGGCAGGUGAUGGAGGCUUGUGCUUCCCCAGAAGGCCACCAGCAUGCUCUGUGUGCAGCUGAGAGUGACAGCUUUGGAGGAGUGACUGGGCAGAGCAAAGCCGGGCCUCCCUCCCUACGAAUAUUCCUGAUGAACCAAUAGGCUCCAGAGAUGGAUGUUUAUGAGCUGCCACGGCCUGCGAGAGCUGUUGAAGAGAAAGACUUCUUUUUCAAAUCUGAAUCUUUAUACCCCGCAGAAAAGAUAUUUGGGGCCUUCCAUAUUUAUUCCACCCAGGAUCAUUUUAGGCAUAGGUCUCUUGGAACCAAGAAUUGUGUUGCAUAAAAAUUAUAGGAAAAACCAAAAUCCUGGUUUCACUCCUAGGCAAGAUCACUGUCCCCUCAGAGGCUGAUCUAAUGGGAAAUGGAAACAAGUCGCAGUAGCAUAUUCUCAGUGUUCAGCUUGCCUCUUUAGUACUGUCUGGCCCGUUUCAUUCAGCAGCACAACAGUCUCGAUUGAUACAGCAUGUAGGAUGAUGUCCUGAGCUCGGGGUCUUGCAGGGACGGGGAUGGGGGUGGUGUCUGGGAGUCCUGGGGAAAAGCUGGUGAAGGUGGCUGUUCUUGGUGUUUCUCACCUGAGGUGACAUAUUUGCAAAGGAGAGGCCAGAAGCCGGUACUGACUGCCUGGUGAGCCCUGGCCACAGCACUUGCAUCAAAACCAUCUUGUAUCCAGGAGCCUUGGCACUAGUAGAUGCUUCAUAAAUAUCUGUUGGCUUAAUAAUCUGCUGUUUUCUACCUCCUCCCACAUUGUGCAGUUAAAUGUGUUAGUUUAAAGUAUGUUUCCUCACAGAUUUGAACAUUCCAGCACUGAAGUUUGUAUUCAUUUGUGUGUGCAGAAUAAAGAUUUAUUAUGGGGGCAGAGCCUAACCUGCUCCACUGCUGCA
Mesocricetus auratus (golden hamster) is the source of this 3371-nucleotide long non-coding RNA. RefSeq lists it as uncharacterized. Lineage: Eukaryota; Metazoa; Chordata; Mammalia; Rodentia; Cricetidae. The transcript is spliced from 2 exons. The record is from RefSeq and is a predicted model, not a curated record.